RNAcentral lists this ribosomal RNA (569 nucleotides) under Trichoderma virens. RNAcentral describes it as "eukaryotic LSU rRNA". The stretch from base 195 to 348 matches the Rfam family "5.8S ribosomal RNA". The record is from RNAcentral. Lineage: Eukaryota; Fungi; Ascomycota; Sordariomycetes; Hypocreales; Hypocreaceae.
CAACUUCCCAAACCCAAUGUGAACGUUACCAAACUGUUGCCUCGGCGGGAUCUCUGCCCCGGGUGCGUCGCAGCCCCGGACCAAGGCGCCCGCCGGAGGACCAACCAAAACUCUUAUUGUAUAACCCCCUCGCGGGUUUUUUACUAUCAUGAGCCAUCUCGGCGCCCCUCGUGGGCGUUUCGAAAAUGAAUCAAAACUUUCAACAACGGAUCUCUUGGUUCUGGCAUCGAUGAAGAACGCAGCGAAAUGCGAUAAGUAAUGUGAAUUGCAGAAUUCAGUGAAUCAUCGAAUCUUUGAACGCACAUUGCGCCCGCCAGUAUUCUGGCGGGCAUGCCUGUCCGAGCGUCAUUUCAACAGCCUCGAACCCCUCCGGGGGGUCGGCGUUGGGGAUCGGCCCUUUACGGGGCCGGCCCCGAAAUACAGUGGCGGUCUCGCCGCAGCCUCUCCUGCGCAGUAGUUUGCACACUCGCAUCGGGAGCGCGGCGCGUCCACAGCCGUUAAACACCCCAAACUUCUGAAAUGUUGACCUCGGAUCAGGUAGGAAUACCCGCUGAACUUAAGCAUAUCAA